This 615-nucleotide ribosomal RNA is filed under the name Phialophora mustea. RNAcentral's name for it is "eukaryotic LSU rRNA". The stretch from base 247 to 400 matches the Rfam family "5.8S ribosomal RNA". The record is from RNAcentral. Lineage: Eukaryota; Fungi; Ascomycota; Eurotiomycetes; Chaetothyriales; Herpotrichiellaceae.
CUUUUAGGAUACCGUACGUGACCUGCGGAGGUCAUUACUAGAGCAAAGGAUAGACACUACCCUACUUCGGUAGGGUUUAGAGUCGUCGGGCCUCUCGGAGAAGCUCGGUCCUGAACUCCACCCUUGAAUAAAUUACCUUUGUUGCUUUGGCGGGCCGCCUCGUGCCAGCGGCUUCGGCUGUUGAGUGCCCGCCAGAGGACCACAACUCUUGUUUUUAGUGAUGUCUGAGUACUAUAUAAUAGUUAAAACUUUCAACAACGGAUCUCUUGGUUCUGGCAUCGAUGAAGAACGCAGCGAAAUGCGAUAAGUAAUGUGAAUUGCAGAAUUCAGUGAAUCAUCGAAUCUUUGAACGCACAUUGCGCCCUCUGGUAUUCCGGGGGGCAUGCCUGUUCGAGCGUCAUUAUAACCACUCAAGCUCUCGCUUGGUAUUGGGGUUCGCGGUUUCGCGGCCCCUAAAAUCAGUGGCGGUGCCUGUCGGCUCUACGCGUAGUAAUACUUCUCGCGAUUGAGUUCGAUAGGUCUACUUGCCAGUAACCCCCAAUUUUUACAGGUUGACCUCGGAUCAGGUAGGGAUACCCGCUGAACUUAAGCAUAUCAAAAAGCGCGGAGGAAAAA